Molecule: small RNA, 724 nt
Filed under: Pongo abelii (Sumatran orangutan)
Lineage: Eukaryota; Metazoa; Chordata; Mammalia; Primates; Hominidae
Description: retained intron
Source: RNAcentral
AGUAGGGGGAGUUGCCAAGUUCAAACCUCUCUUGGGCCAAGUAGAGCAGUUAGUAUGUGUUUCUGUGUCUGUCUUUUCUGCCCUCGAGCCCUGAAUGAGAAAGAGACUCUAGCUCCUCUUCUUCCCUUGUGCUGACUCCGAGGAGGCUCUCUAAAGUCUCCUUGGAAGCUUUGGUCCAAGGAGGGUCACAUCUGCAAGUGUCCAGGCAGGGGACAGAAACCACACUAGUAAUUUGAAGACAAUUUAAACUGAGUGGUGCCUGAUCACCUCCAGGUCCCAGGCCCUGCAUGUGGACCUGCACAGGAAGAGCUAUGGGAGAAGAAGGAAUCUCUGGGAGCAGCCCAGGAAGCACUGAGCAUCCAGCUCCAGCCUAAGGAGACCCAGCCUUUCCCAAAGAGUGCCUUACUAUUCUUAUCUCUUAGAACAGGUAUAUUUACAUUUUCUGUCAGUUGUUACAGAAGAUGGCCCAGAGCCCAAGGACAAAGGAUCAUUGCCACAACCACACAUUACUGAAGUGGAAUCACAGGUGUUCUCAGAAAAACUUGCUACUGACACCUCUACAUUUGAAGCUACCUCUGAGGGUACCUUAGAACUGCAGCAGAGAAAUCCCAAAGCGGAGAGACUGAGGUGGUCCCCUGCCCAGGGGAAAAGUUUCAGGCAGAUGGUUGUCACCCAUAAGGAAAUUCCCACAGGGAAGAAAGACCAUGAAUGUAGUGAAUGUGGU